GAUGAACGCUGGCGGCGCGCCUAACACAUGCAAGUCGAACGAUUAAAGCACCUUCGGGUGUGUAUAAAGUGGCGAACGGCUGAGUAACACGUGGGCAACCUGCCCCUCUCAUUGGGAUAGCCACGGGAAACCGUGGAUAAUACCGAAUACUUCGAGACUUCCGCAUGGAAGACUCGAGAAAGCUCCGGCGGAGAGGGAUGGGCCCGCGGCCUGUUAGCUUGUUGGUGGGGUAACGGCCUACCAAGGCAAUGAUGGGUAGCUGGGUUGAGAGACCGACCAGCCAGAUUGGGACUGAGACACGGCCCAGACUCCUACGGGAGGCAGCAGUGGGGAAUCUUGCACAAUGGGCGAAAGCCUGAUGCAGCGACGCCGCGUGCGGGAUGAAGGCCUUCGGGUUGUAAACCGCUUUCAACAGGGACGAGGCGAAAGUGACGGUACCUGCAGAAGAAGCCCCGGCUAACUACGUGCCAGCAGCCGCGGUAAUACGUAGGGGGCAAGCGUUAUCCGGAUUCAUUGGGCGUAAAGCGCUCGUAGGCGGUCUGUUAGGUCGGGAGUUAAAUCCGGGGGCUCAACCCCCGUUCGCUCCCGAUACCGGCAGACUUGAGUUUGGUAGGGGAAGGUGGAAUUCCUAGUGUAGCGGUGGAAUGCGCAGAUAUUAGGAAGAACACCAGUGGCGAAGGCGGCCUUCUGGGCCAUAACUGACGCUGAGGAGCGAAAGCUAGGGGAGCAAACAGG
This 735-nucleotide ribosomal RNA is filed under the name uncultured Atopobium sp. Its description in RNAcentral is "bacterial SSU rRNA". It matches the Rfam family "Bacterial small subunit ribosomal RNA", at positions 28 to 776 of the family's 1533-position model. Lineage: Bacteria; Bacillati; Actinomycetota; Coriobacteriia; Coriobacteriales; Atopobiaceae. The record is from RNAcentral.